AGUCUUGCUCUUCACAGAGCUUUGAGGAGCUGGACCAAAAUUGUGCUCCACAGAGAGAAGAUACCGGUGCCGGGAAGCACCAGUGCCCUGAGGAAGGGCCAUUUCUAAAAGCCCUGUGCUGACACAGGGGUGCUGGUUCGUCUUCAAGAGCCCACUCUCUGGGGUGGGGCCAUAUCUCCAGCAGAGGUGGGCUGGAAAGGAUCCCCCCACCCUGCCCGCCGUGAGUUUAGCUGGAGCCAUGGCCUCUGCACGCCUCUCGACGCUUGCGAUGCUCUUCACAUUGAACUAUUUUUGAAACAUCUAAAUCAGGAACAGAGAUUCCGGAUCAUUAUUAGCUUUUAAAGUUGGGUUCUUUGAGGCCCCAAAGAGACAAGAAUAACAGAAAAUUUGCUGAGAAUCCUGCUUGGGCUUCUGAGGCUUCCUUCAUUAGGAUCAUGGGCGACGAGGAGCCGGCAGAAAGUGGGAGUCCUGGUCCCCAAAUGUCCAGGACGCAGCCAACUCUUCUCUGAAGUGCUCCACUAUUUCCAGUACUUCAUGUGGCACAGACAAUAUCCUCAAAAAAGAAGUUCAGUAUUGCAAUUGGAUUCUGAAUAGAGAUACCUUCUCUUCAUAGGUGGAAGCUAGAUGAUGAGAACACAUGGACACAUAGAGGGGAACAACAGACCCUGGGGCCUAUUGAAGAGUGAAAGAAAUGUCUUCAAUGUCUUCAAUACUCCUGAUGAACUUCCUCCAUCUACAUCUACUCUGAGGAAAAAGACAAUGGAAUGAAGGAAAUAAGGAACAAAAGUGGAGAUAGCGGAAGUGGGGAAAAAAGUAAGAAAAUGCUGGAGGAAAAAGGAGAAACAUUUUGUGUGGACUUCAAAAUAUGGCCUUCAGCACAUGUUCACAGCACAGAAUCAGCUGUGUAGGUUUUGAAGUGUAAAGAAAAAGGUCUGGAUGGAAGAAGAGAGGAGGGGGAGGGGCGAAUGUAAUCAAGGAAGGCAUCCUACACAUGUCCUAUUUCUUUUAUCACCAAUUGAAGCCUUAUUUUAGACAUACGCUAUGUUCACGUAUAAAUAUAAAUAUAUUUUUAGAUUUACAAAUCUAUUCUAACUUGUUUUAUUUGUAUUUACUUUUCUUAAAAUGGGGAUAAACAAAAUGAUAUAUACCAUAAAAGAGGGUAUUCCUUUGUUAGACCCUCAAUGUAAAUAAAUUCUCAAAUUCUCUGC
This 1208-nucleotide long non-coding RNA is filed under the name Pongo abelii (Sumatran orangutan). Its description in RNAcentral is "lncRNA (ENSPPYG00000032063.1)". Lineage: Eukaryota; Metazoa; Chordata; Mammalia; Primates; Hominidae. The record is from RNAcentral.